CCUACGGGAGGCAGCAGUCGGGAAUAUUGCGCAAUGGGGGAAACUCUGACGCAGUGACGCCGCGUAUAGGAAGAAGGUUUUCGGAUUGUAAACUCUUGUCGUCCGGGGAGAAAUUGACCGUACCUCAGGAGGCAGCGCCGGCUAACCAUGUGCCAGCAGCCGCGGUAAGCCAUCGGGCGCAAGCGGUAUCACGAUUUAUUGGGUGUAAAGGGUGCGUUGUCGGGAAUUUAAGUUAGGUGGGAAAUCCCUCGGGUUAACCGAGGAACUGCAAUUCAAACUGCUGUUCUUGAGUGCUGGAGAGGAAAGCGGAAUGCGUAGUGUAGCGGUGAAAUGCGUAGAUAUUAGGAAGAACACCAGUGGCGAAGGCGGCUUUCUGGA
RNAcentral lists this ribosomal RNA (378 nucleotides) under uncultured bacterium. RNAcentral's name for it is "partial 16S ribosomal RNA". It matches the Rfam family "Bacterial small subunit ribosomal RNA", at positions 338 to 733 of the family's 1533-position model. The record is from RNAcentral.